UCACGCGAGCGGAUCCUCUCUCUGGUACCCUCGCACGCGCUAGGGUUCCUGCGCCGCCGCGAGCUCGUCGACCAGCCCAACGUCCUGCUACUCCGCGCCUCGUUUCCCUCGUCACUCGCCUUCGGACUCCUCGCUAGCCUCAGGCGAUCCAUCGCUUGUCUGCAAGCCAAGCCGCUGCCUCUCCGCCGAGAAAGAGGGCUCCCGAUCUCCGCCGUGGUCGACCAACAGCUCAUCUCGCCUGCUCUGUCGCCUCGUCACGCGUGCUGUCUGCUCCGCUGCCUCGCCGCCUGCUCCGUCGCCUUGCCACGCGCCGGCCGCCUUCUCCCCCUCGUCUCGCUGAUUCUCUCCGUCCGCACUAGGAGAUCAAGAGGGAAGGGAUCCCCUUUUCUGCAAAGCUCGUGCCUUGCCGGCUUCGACGGCGGCGCUCGAUGACCCGCUCCUCGUCCUCGAGCACCUCCUCCAGACCUCGAGCUCCGGCGGCGGCGGCGUGGGAAAGACGACCAGGGCAUGGGGAACACAAAGACUUGCUCCACACACAUGCCACUGCCACGUGCUUGUCUUGCUCCUUGAGUUGGCGGGCUGAUGAUGGAGGAUCUACACUCUUCGCUGCACUGGCGCCGUCGCUGCCGCUUCUGCUUCUGCUCCCCGCUCGCCCACGGCGAAGGCUGUCUUCUGAAUUUACAGGUGAUGUCUGUCUGUUGAAGCAAGCAGGUGAGCUGAUUUUGUGCAGAGAUUGGUUUGUGCAGCGAUUGGAGGAGGAAUGGAGUAUUGCAUAGGAUUGGAUGUUGCUUCCAUUGGUGCAGACUGCAAAUGUAGCUGGUGCACUCCGGGAGGCGAAGAAUAAAAUUGAGAAGAAGUUGGAUGAUCUUACUUUGUAAGACUUACUCUCGAAAGGAGAAUGCGGAUUUUCAGAAUACCGACGGAAAUAUUGCGUUGGAACGAUCCCGGGUCAGCGGGGGCGGCCAAACUAGGUGGCAAAUGCGGUGCACAAGUUGAGGAGCGAAGGUAAAGAGGAAAGGCCACAACAACCUGAGCAGCGGCGAGGGGAUGGAGCAGCGGCUGCGCAGCUGCGUCGACCCGAGCAGUUGCGAGAGCGAAUGAAGCUGCGGUUGCACAGACAAGCUUGUGGAGGUGUCAGUAUGCAUGCAUGCGUCCCUGAUUUGGAGCACGCCUCUGGCCUGGUAGGAUUCUCGCUCUGCCCCGACCUCAAGGGUGUUCGUCUAUCUGUGUCGUGCUCGGGACGAUGCACUAAUGCAGGUGUGGUUCUUCAGCUUUUCUUUGUCUUUUUGUUGGUAUGUAUAUCUCCGAAUCUUGUGAGCCGUGAUUUUCAUGCUGCCAUGUAUGCCAUUGUGUCCUGUAUAAUGAUUCUUCUUAUUAUUUUUGAAUGGCAUAAUUAUUCUUAUUGAGGCACUGCCGCUGCCUAUUUUGCUUAUAGUAACAUACUAAUUAAUACAGGGAGAGAGUACGAUUUUUUAACACAAUCUGCAGUACCCGUGAGCCUGCCCAUAGGUAGAUAUGGAUACAUUUUGUAGCUUCCAUUCUUGUUUUCUCUCAUUGAAAUUAUGAAUUUGGAAACUAAUCAUGGAGUGUCUAGAUUGUCUGCUAUAUUACCAAGUGCGCUGAAGGAAAAGCUGCUGCCACCGUUGAUGACCACUCUAGGUGAUAUAAUUCAUAUUUGCUUUGUUGUUUCAGUAACUUCCUGUAGCAUAUUGGUUCCAUCUUUUUUUUGCAUCAUGGUACAUUAUUCUCAUCUUGAUAUAUAUAAUUUGGUCAACUGAAGAUUUGAGUGCAGGGUAGAAUUCUUGGUUGAUUUUAGAAUUUCGUUGUUGAUUACUUGGCCAACAGACUUCUAUGAAAUUCAAGGCGUCAUUUAGUGUACUGUAUGUCAUAUUUGUCUUAUUUCUAUACUCACAAUAUUUCGGCAUCGUCUGAACAAAUGAUGCUAAAUUGAUAUAAUCAUUUUGGAUCAGUGUCAUCUUCUCAAUGCUGAACAGCCAAAAUAUAUACAGGUGAGCAGUUCACCGCACAUGCUCAUAUGUCAUAUUUAUGUACUGUUUAACAUGGCAAAAAUUGGUCAAACGUUUAAAUAUUUCUACUGUUUAACACAGCCAAAGUAUAUACAUAAUGAUCAGUCCUCCGCUGCACAUUAGAUCCAGCCUCCCUCCCUUGACACCAUUCUUCUUACUUAUUAUUAUUUCUUUUAAAAAUAUCUUUAGUUUUAUUUUCUAGCUACUUCAAUUCAUUCGUAUAUGGUUAGUUCCAUCGCACUACGAGGAUGAUCCAUGGCUGGUCGCGGACGAUCACCUGCGAGGACGAUUCAUGGCCGGUUGGGGAUGGUCAGUUCCAUCACACUGCGAGGAGAUGAUUCAUGGCCGGUCGGGGAUGGUCACCUGCGCCCGAAGGCCAACCUUAAUACUGGACCUCGAGAGGGGCAUCUGGCCAACCAUGCCGGAGGAUGCAGAGGAGUUGUUUGGGAAUGUUAUCAUCAAAGGACCCAAGAAGUAGCCCACCAAGGAUGCAUGGAUCAACCACGCAAGUCCAUUCUUGCAAUCCAUCUGUGGCGAGGGUUUAUGACAGACAAGCCAAUAGAUUUGGGGGUCCACUUCCCGCUGAAACAAAUGUUCAUUGCGGAUAAUACGAAGACGAUGAUUGGUACAAUCAGGUGAAUAUAUUAGAAUUUUUAUUCUUCUCUCUCCAUGUCUAUGUUUGUGCUUGAUCAACUGUCCACUUAAUGAUUUUAGUUGUACAAAGUCCUAAGCUGGUCUCACUAGGUCGUACCCAG
Long non-coding RNA from Triticum aestivum (bread wheat), 2782 nucleotides. RefSeq lists it as uncharacterized. The record is from RefSeq and is a predicted model, not a curated record. The transcript is spliced from 5 exons. NCBI's taxonomy places the organism in Eukaryota, Viridiplantae, Streptophyta, Magnoliopsida, Poales, Poaceae.